CCUGGGAACCUCCAUAUGCCAAAGGUGUGGCCCUAAAGAGCAAAAAAAAAAAGAAUGAGAAAGAAAUUUUGUCAAAUGACAUUUCAACAUUGUCAAUUAUGACUGCAUGAAUUUUCUAUAUUUUCAAUGUAUUAAUAUACUGAAACAUAGAAGAUUCCCUAACAUGGAACAUUCCUACUAUAAUCCCCAUCUCAUCAUGAUCUUACUCUAUUCAGGAUUUUAUAUCAACAUUCAAAAGUGGUAGAACGUGGAUUCUCCCCACCUCAGUUUUUAUGUUAAUGCCUAUACUUUUUAUUUCCAAAAGCAUUCAGAAUUAUCUCUUUAGAAAUCAACCACUGACACAAAAUAUGUAAAAAUUCCAGGUAAAUAUUAAUAUAGUUUAUAACAUUGCUAAAUGCAUAAUUGAACUGGCAAUAAAAUAGUAGAAACCUUAACUGGUCAAAAGUUAUAAUAAAAUAUGAUGCUAGACAGGAAAGUUAAUAAUGACACUGUGCAUACAUGUUUAUGUAUUUCUUCUAAUAAUUUACAAGGUUUUCAUUCCAGUAUUAUAAGGAAGAGUGAUUUUCAAGUUGCUAUUCCUGUCAUCCACUAUUUAAUAUAAGAACUAUAAGACUUAUCAAAAUUGUGCACUUGUCUAGUUACUUAUAUGGUUCUUUUUGACAUGCUAUAUAACAGUGAUUAAGUUAGUUUAUAGAAUGAUUUUCUUUCCUAUUUCCCUCUCUCCUUAACCAAUAAUUUAAACAGAUUAUACUACCUUUUUUAGUAUUUCUAUUUUAUCCGUUAAAUGACUUUAUUCUUCUAUUAUUAGAUUUAUUAGUUCUAGUGUAUAUUUUGAUUCAUGGUUAUAAAAGAUGAAGAUACAACUAGACUUCUACUUUCUUGUACACACUUCCUCUUUUUUACCAACUUUUUUUAGUUACAUAAUUUAUUCUUUGUUAAAAUCUAGGACAAUUGCUUUCUAUUCUUCAACUAUAAUUUCCACAUGUUUGCCUAUUUGUCCUGCAAUUCUAAAACUUAGUCUUACAGUUGUAGCUGUGCAAUCAUAGCUAUACAGUUCUUGUGUGUUAGUCUUACAUUCCUAAUGCUCUUUCACUGGAUCGUUCACUAUAUUUAUAUAUUUUUAUUCAUCUCUUAAUUGCCAAAUAUCACCUUCCAGUAUUAUCUUCAAGAAGACCUCAAAGUAAUUACCUGGGCUCUUGCACCUUCAAGAAUGUUUAUCAACUUUAUCUUAGAAAAUAGAUGCUGCUCUGCUGUUUUCUAGUGUUGAAUAUUGACGUGGAGGAAUAUUAUGAUCUCAACCAUCAGAAAGUGAACAGUGAUGUAGACCAGAUUGCAAAAUAUAUAUAUAUAUAUUAUUAUAUAGAGAGCUAUGGAUAUUCACAUGUAUUAGGGAAUACAAACUUUCUGUGGGACUGUUUUUGCUGUUGCUGCUGCUGUUGUUAAAAUGUUUACUCUUAUAUCAUGCUUUCCUGAAAACUGGAAUACAUUAAAUAUAUCAUUCAAGGCCAAAUGGCAAAUGUUAAGCACUGGGUACUCAAGCAUUUUAUAUUUAACAUUUUAAAACAAAACAAAAUGAAGAAAACAAAAACAAAAUUCUCUUCCUUCUGGUAUUCUCACUGUUAAAUAGAGUUAUGGAUAACUUGGAAUUCCUGUCAUAGAUUUCACAAGCAGCCUCUUCUAUACAAUGAGUCUGCCCUGAGCUAAGCUAUGUCUCUGCCUUGGAUGAGGUCACAUUUUUCUUCCACUGAAAAUCAGGGAUUGUUAAACAUUUCUAACAUUGAUCAAUUUUACUUCCUUCCUAGGUAAUAUGCUGCAUUACUUUAUUUUGUUUUAGAGAGUCAACAGAGAUAUUUGCUUCAGUCACUAAGGAGGUUGAUUUUUAUUCUAGCAUCUUCAAAAAAUAUGUGUGAACAUGUGCCUUCAAUGCCGAUGAACUAACUGUUCUUCUGGAAAUAACUGUUGGAUCCCGAACUACGAUUCUCUAAUGAGAUGUCAGUCAGUUGUAAAAUCUUUAGUGAGACAUUGCUUAAUGAUGUUAGCUAAUUUUACUGAGUACUAAGUGUCUGGAAUGUACUAAGCCCCUGAACACAUUUUAUAGCUGAAUGGUUUAGAACAUGUAAUCCCAAUAACAAAACUAAGGUAGAUCUUUUUAAAACUCGCAUUUUAUAGAGGAAGAAAUGGGUCUCAGAAAAGUGAAGGAAUUCGCCCAGGAUCACACAGAUAGAGAGGGGGCAGAGUCACACUUUGAAGCCAGGCCUUUUGCUUCCAGAACCCAAGAACUUCACUGCUAUUGUUAAUGCAGCCUCCCAGGUGAUGUCUGGUUUGUUGUUAUCAGUAUACCUUUCGCAGGGUCUAAAUUUUUUUUCUUUUGUCUUUUUAGGGCCACACCCACAGCAUAUGGAGGGUCCCAGGCUAGGAGUCAAAUCGAAUAGGAGCUGUAUGUGCUGGCCUAUGCCACAGCCAUAGCAACAUGGGAUUCAAGCCUCGUCUGUGACCUACACCACAGCUCACAGCAAUGCCGGAUCCUUAACCCACUGAGCAAGGCCAGGGAUUGAGUCCGUGUCCUCAUGAAUACUAGUUGGGUUUGUUAACCACUGAACCAGGACAGGAACUCCAGUCUAUGUCUUCUAAAGGGCAUAACCAUAAUACAUAGGAGGAUCACUUGACUCAUACUGGUCUCAGUCUGAGUGAGAAAGUAACCAUUUUAUGUCAAGCGGUGAAGGUUUCAGGUUAGUCUGCUACAAUAGCUAGUGUUAAUCCUGCCAACCAGUGCCAAGUGAAAUAAGCCAGUCACAAAACACAAAUACUGUAUGAUUUUACUUAUGUGAAGUGCCUAGAGGAAUCAAAUGCAUAGACACAGAAAGUAGAAUGAUGCUUAACACGGGCUGGGGGCAGGAGGAAAACGAGGAGUUGUUAAAUGGGUACAGAGCUUCAUUUUUGCAAGAUGAAAAGAGUUUUGACAGUUGGCUGCACUUACUUAAGUUACUUAAUACUACUGAGCUGUGCAUCUCAAAGAGUUAAGAUGUUAAAUUUUAUGUUUUGUAUAUUUUAUCACAAAAAUAAAGUAGGAAAAAUUAAGGUGUCAGGGUAAAAAUGUAUUACGUUUUACAAAAACUAAGCCACAGUGGUACAGAACCACAAGGUGAUUCCCUCAAGAGCCUUCCAAAAGAGACCUGAACUGUGCCCAUAUAAUUGGAAUAAAAAUAAAACAGCUUUGCCUAAAAUGACUGUCUAGGUCCAUUAGAAGUCUGAAGAAAAACAUGCUCACUAGCCAAAUACUCCAUUUUUUGUAAAUCACAAUGUCUUUAAUGAGUUAAGAACCCUGAGAAAUCCUAUAGAGGGGAAAAAAAAAAAAAAAAAAAAAA
Molecule: long non-coding RNA, 3365 nt
Filed under: Sus scrofa (pig)
Lineage: Eukaryota; Metazoa; Chordata; Mammalia; Artiodactyla; Suidae
Description: lncRNA (ENSSSCG00005014232.1)
Source: RNAcentral